UACUUUGUUUUUCUGAGAUGACAUUCCUUAAAAACCUUGAUUUAUUUCUUUAUCUCCUCCCAGAGACCCAGCUUCCGCACAAGAGGGAGCCCCGGUGAAUACCUACUACAGAGAAGGCUCUUGAAACACAUCUGAAGGUUGCACUAAGGAAUGCAUGGACAAGGUCAGGGUCCUCAUUCCUGUGCCCAAACUGGUGUCCCCUGGGAGCCUAAGACACCAGACACAGCCCCUCCUCGGUGCACACCAGGGACAGUAGGUGCUCAGCAAACAUCCCUCUAACAAGUGCAUGCGAUCACAAACAGCAGCUCUACAGAGCCAUCCUCGAGCCCAAGGUGCAUGCACAGUGUUGUCCCGUCAGGGGUCCUGGGGUCAGAGCCAUGGCUCUGUUCCUCUGAGGACCGUGAGCCUUGCCCCCAUCCAUGAGCUUUUGUUACCGGCCUCUAAAAACUAAACCACUUAGGCCUGGUGCUGUUCAAACUGCAGGAUUUUAUUCGAGGAGUAACUGUUGAAGGAGCGUUCGAUUUUCUACCUUAACAGGUGGGUUGGGGGUUUCCGGAGAUGGGCCGGAUUGGAGCACCGGAGUCUGCCGUGUGUCGGCCGGAGGCCAGGACUUGCUCCCACCCGGCUGUGCGACUUGGUGUAGGGGAUGCGCUUCUUCAAACGACAGCGGCCGUGACACGGACGACCCCCACACUAGCAGCCUGCCACGCUGACCUUCUGCUCCACUGACCCCGACACUGACCGUAUCUCCCAUUGCCAGAUUUCGAGAGAGAGCGCACUCCCUUCCUGUCCCGCUUCUACUCAGCCGGUCCCUGCCCGCCUGGUGCAGCCGUGGCCUGUGACUCCGCUUCCCUGCUGGCUUCAUAGACACCACCUAGCGGUCUCCUGGGAAGCUCUGGAGCCCGAGGACACCCCAAGCUCUCUCCUCCCUGGCUCCGCGGCCAAGCUUCCCCCCAUCGAGGUCCUAUUUCUGUACCCGCCCCCGCCAUCGGCCAAAGUCUCUCUCCAGGCUCUACACCCGGUGAAUUCCCCGGGAUUCUCUUCCCCACCCCAUCCAAUGGUCUUAGGUCAGCAAGCGGACUCCAGAUCUCCAAGGGCAGGGACGUUUCCUCUCUCCUGCGUCCCUCAGUGCCAGGCACAGACGAUGCAUGCAGUAGACACUUGGUGCAUAUACACAGUGACUGAAAUCAUUCCGGGGAUGCAAAGUGACUGAGCCCGCCGCAGGAAGGGAAGGCCAUGUUCCUGCUGCAAAUGAUGACCCAUUUGCUUCCAGAAAGGACUGCUCUGCACGCAGCUGCAGAGGUGGAGGCCGUGCGCUCUGAGCCCCCCUCCCAGCCAGGCUGCGGCGAGUGGGCUCGGCUGCACGAGUUUAGAAUGUUCCCAAGACUCCUGCGGAGAGAGACUCCGUCCUGGCCCGGGUCUAUUCUUAGCAGUGCUCACAGCCGGUCCCGGGAGAAGGCUGGCUGUUCCGCAGCGUCUGGCUUUCUCCGUCCAAUCUUCGGUGGAGCCUUCUGUUUCCGCCUUCAGACAGAACCAGGAAGCAUACAUGAGGCUUCCGUUACGGGUCACCACGAAUCCAGGAACGAACCAGCCGGGCCACUGCCCUCAAAUGACCCAGGGCAGCUGCGGUGGAGACAAGCAGAACCUGCCAGGACACACUGUGGUCAGUCCUGAACUCUUGUCCCAGAGCCUUGUGUUUUGGGAGCACGGACAGAAACUAAUUGCCCCAGAGGUGGACAGGGAAGGCUUAACGGAGGAGAUGAUACACUCAAUUUAUACCAUUGGUGGACAGUAAUCAUCAACCGCUUCAAAAGAUUCCCUCUGUGGGCUACAAUUUUCAUUCCCAUUCUCAAGUCCUCCUGGAGUGUAGCAUGAUUUAUUUCCUUACCAGCCAGCCUAACUUCUUUCAGUAACAGAAUCCGUCAGUCCCCUCCUGAUCUACAUGACAAUGAAAAAUACUGGGAAAACACACUGGGGCCAUUCUAUGAGCACCUGCCUAUAGAUUUAUUUUUUUAACACUUUUUUUUUUAUUUUUUAUUUUUUAAAAUUUACAUCCCAAUUAGUUAGCAUAUAGUGCAACAAUGAUUUCAGGAGUAGAUUCUUUAGUGCCCCUGACCCAUUUAGCCCAUCCCCCCCCCCAAGCCCCUCCCGUAACCCUCAGUUUGUUCUCCAUGUUUAUGAGUCUCUUCUGUUUUGUCCCCUUCCCUGUUUUUGUAUUAUUUUUGUUUCCCUUCCCUUAUGUUCAUCUGUUUUGUCUCUUAAAGUCCUCAUACGAGGGAAGUCCUAUGAUUUUUGUCUUUCUCUGACGGACUCAUUUCACUUAGCAUAACACCCUCCAGUUCCAUCCACAUAGUUUGCAAAUGGCAAGAUUGCAUUCUUUUUGAUUGCCAAGUAAUACUCCAUUAUAUAUAUGCACCACAUUUUCUUUAUCCAUUCAUCCAUCGAUAGACAUCUGGUAUAAGCACCUGCCUGUAGAAGCCUCAUCCCGCAACCCCUCAUCCCAUCUUUGGGCUUGGACCCUCCUGGUCCAUUUGCUGGUUGAAAAACGCCCUCAGAAACCUUUGGGGCACAUUGACCCUCUCUCCUGGAACCUCCUUCCCCACCCUCCCUCUGCCUCUCACAUCCAGAUCCUAUUUUUCCUUCAAGGCCCCAUCACCUCACCUCACCAUGCUUUCCCUGGAAACGGUUGCUCUCUCUAAGUUCUAUCCCCACUGCUCUUAUGCUCAAUCACAUUGACUCUGGUGUGUGUGAUGGAAUCACUGAGGGUGGCAUCCCAGAUACAGAUGGACAGACGAUCAAGGGGCUACCUGUGGAAGGAGACUUGCCCCAGAACUCAGUAGAGCCCACUGCCUGUAUCACUUGAAGCUUUGUGAUGUGGGUCUUUCCUAAGGUCACCAAGCAUUUGCAGGUCUCCUGAGAGCAGAGUUCACAUCUGGCUCAGAGUUGUCCGGCCAACACCCAGCACAUGCCCUAGAACCAAUGCAUGCUCAUCAUUACACGUUGAGUGAAUAAAAGCUUCUUUCCAGA
Long non-coding RNA from Neofelis nebulosa (Clouded leopard), 3027 nucleotides. RefSeq lists it as uncharacterized. Lineage: Eukaryota; Metazoa; Chordata; Mammalia; Carnivora; Felidae. The record is from RefSeq and is a predicted model, not a curated record. The transcript has 2 exons.